Canis lupus familiaris (dog) is the source of this 4412-nucleotide long non-coding RNA. RefSeq lists it as uncharacterized. The record is from RefSeq and is a predicted model, not a curated record. The transcript has 4 exons. NCBI's taxonomy places the organism in Eukaryota, Metazoa, Chordata, Mammalia, Carnivora, Canidae.
ACCACCGGAGCUGCCAGCAGCCCUACUCACGCUUCCUGUGUUUCCACACGAGCCUAACUCUCCGUCCUGCCCCGCCCCGCAUGCCGAGCAGGCCAUCCUUUGGAAGCAGGCGAUCCUGCCCCUGUGACCCUGCUGCUCCGUGAUCGCUUAUCCCUGAGCUGGUCCCACACGGGAUCAGCAGCUCCUUGAGCCUGGCCUGUCUGUGCUAAGCUGAAAAGAAGUGAGAUGUGUGGUUGGGCCCCCAGAGGCAGCCUGGCAGCCAGCUGCACAGAGGGCUCCCCACAUUCUGCUACUGUUCCGAGUCCUGCUCUGCACUGGCCACAGACAGACGUGCGGUGGAGAGAAGACAGGGCCCCCUCCCCAGACGGCUGGGGCCUGCUCUCAGGGGUGGCCGGCAUGAUCAGAUGGUGCUUUCUGCCCCCCGAGGAACAGAGCCCCCCUGUCUGGGAGAUAAACCACAUCCCUACUUAUGCUGUUCAGUCAAGAAGCAGCUCCUGCCCCUCUGUGACAGGGACGCGCAGUGGGACUGCAGGCCACGACGGGGUGGGGAAGUACUCUUUUGCUCUGUGGAGGAGAAAUCAGGCUGAUGAUGUGUUUUGAGAACCCGGAGGGAUUGUGACUCACAAGGUGAGUAAGAAUUCUGUGCUUACAGCGUGGGCCUGGGUUCGGCCAGUGGGGCUGCAUGACGGGCGUUCCCAAGGAGGAUGCCCAGCUGCUGUGAACCCAAGAACCUCUGCACGGAGACGUCUCCUGAGAGUUCUUAGCCAGCCGAGAGAGGGUAGUGCACCUGCUGGGGCGGCUGGCCUUCUGAACUGGACAGCAGUGACAACACGGAACUGUUUGCCAUGGGAGCACAGGGCCGGUUAUAAAAUCCCCCAGGAGAGGACUUGCCGUGAGGAUGCCCCCAUGUGACAUAGAUGAGACAGUGGUUCACUUCCUCAUGACCCCCAGCACACUCACGAUGACCGCUUGCACCUGUGCUGAGGCAGACCCGGCCAUCCCCUGCCACCGUCUCAGGUCGAGCAGCUGAGCGGGAGCUGUGUGGCUCCCCAAAACCAGCUAGAUGUGGGGAAGUCAGCUCCGAUCAGCUGACCGGCUGAGGCUCCUCUGAGCGUGGAUGCCUGUUGGUGGGGUGCCCAUCCGAGGCCUGCCUGCUUCUCCCCAGCAAAGUCCAAACCCGCCACCUUGACGACUCCGUGCACACGGGGCACAGCGCUACUGCAGCCACCAGAACAAAAGCUGUCCCAACCUGUUUGGUGCUUGGCUGUGACAUCACAUGCGUGUUUACACGCAAAUCCAAUGAAUUUGUCAGCAGGAGAAAUAACUGAAGAUGACGGAAUGUCUCAUAAUGUCUCAUUAAAAUUUUCACGAACAAUCUACCUAUAACCACUAAGAGCUAGUAAAUUAAAUAGAUAUGAGAUAAAAGUCUCCGAACAUACUUUUCAAGAAUAAUUACAUUUUAUGCUCUACAUGGAGUAUUUGUGACCUCAGACUAACUUGGAGAUUUCCCAGAAGGUCCCUGGCCGAAGAAGAGAUGUCGAGCCAAGCACACCUACGCAGCAUGUCGCUUCGUGAGGAAGCGCUGUCGAGCAGGAGGUGAUGUAGCCGCCCUGGGUUACGUGGGCUUGGAUGCUCGUUACCAGCCUAGGAACCCAGAAGCUGUCUGAGCUUCGUAGAGCUUUGUCAGUACCCAGCUUGUCCACUUACGAUCUUCAUUUGCUGACCGCCACAGCAAUAACUACAUUUCCUUAUCAAAUGCACUCUUAUCAUAUCUUUAAUCAUAGCCAUUUAAAAAUAGCCUUUUUGCCAUUUGCAGCAACUGCUUUGCUCUGAUGUUUUGGCAAAGGUGCCUCAUCUUUGCAGAACAAGACUGGACUUGAGCCUCUCUGCAGGGGCCACACCAGGUCCCACCACCACUCAGGGGGCAGCCAAGCCGGGGACUUGCACCUUAGGUCCAGGUCUCACAAUUAGAAGGGCUCCUUGAAACACUGGGAACUCUCACCAGCUACAGACCUCGAAUUAAAACUGACUAGAGAGGUCACGGCUCUCCCAAGGUCACAGAUGCGGACCUUCAUCCUCAACGUGAAGCCUUUAUUCCUCCCUUUGCUUUCUUGCUAUUUUAUUUUUCUGUCUGUUAAUGCAAGGAAGACAAAGCUCCCUGAGUCUGGUAGCCAUCGCUGAGUCCCCCACCAGGGCCGUUGCUGCGUGACAGAGGUCCCUAGGCUUUCUUGCGUAGUUGGUUUUAGAUAACAGGUUGCUUUAAAGUCCGUAUCAGAUCAGUCCACCUGCUGUCCCCGGAUCCAGCCGCUAGUGUCCUAGCAAGCGCAAGAAAUUGACAGACUAGCCACUUGGCCAAACCAGGCUGAUGCCCCUUUGGGCACAGUCUUCAAUUUAUCUGAUACCAGUUGUGUGUCUGUAUCCCUCUUGUGGCCGUCGCUGUGGCCUCGCGUGCGCUGUGUUCUCUCCGGGUCUGAAGCCGGAGUUCCCGACCUUGGCAGGACAGCACAAGGUCUCAUGCACGUAGAGAAGCAGAAACCAGUGAACAGCCCAGCAGCUAUUCAGACCUGGCCUCGUAUCCUAUGAGUCUCACCAGAAGACCAGAGCCACUCAACUCGGAUGCACCCUAGAGUGGCGCUAGUGCUAAAAUCUCGGUCAGCCCCUCACGUAUGGAAGAUAAGAGGAGACAGAGAUUGUUAACUUUAUUCCUCAAGGAGGCCAGGUGGGCGCAGGGCUGCCAACCGCUUUUGGUCUGUUGCUGCCCAAUUGAAAUCAAUGUUGCUCAAAUCAACUCGUAAAAUGGUUCCUAUGCCUCAGUUUACCUUGUGUCUUCCUCACAUGGCUCUUCAGGUUCUCCACCUCUGGCAGAUGCUUGAUAAAUCCAGACGGUGGGGAGGAAUAACUUAUCCACCUUAUACAACUUCCAGUUUUAUUAUGCAGAUUUGCUAAAGUUGACAUUGUUCAAUCGCCCAGAGGGAAGGAGGAGAGGUCUGAAUUUCCAGCUCUCCUUCAUAAAAAUGAUGCUUGACCUUGGAUCGUGUAGGGGAGAAAGAAAUUUCUUCCUUUACCCUCCUAAGCUCUCAGCUGGAAAUCCCGAGACAGGUUUACAAGGGAAAACCAAGCACGUGUGCAUGGGAGACACCCAGGGAGAGCGGCUCAGAGCUCGGGCUUAACCACCAUCAUUAGCUAAAGACAAGAGGAAGAUGGGGUGGGGCGAGCAGUCGUGGGCAGUGGCCAGGAGCCAACGCGGUGAGGCUGUUGUCUUCUCCACUGACAAGAUCCUUGUGACUGCGUGUCCUCUCUUCCUAAUGCAGGAGGGAGACAGCCCCACAGAUGGAGAUCUCCUUUACAAAUAUAAUUGUCCCCUACAAACAGGCAACUUCUCUGUUUCAGAGUUUCCCCGUAGCUGCUGUUUCGCAAAAUAAUCCUUGUGCCAAAGAGGCAUUUUUGGGGUGGUGUGUUGUGCAGCUGUUCAGUGGGGACUUUCUGGUACCUGUGUCCCCUGCAAGCUCCAGCCCUCGUUUGGGGUCCAGACUCACCCUGCACACAGGAGGCCCCGCCAGCCCCAUCCACCCGCUGCACAGAAGCAUGGGCCUGGGCAGGUCCCCACACAUGCCCGGUCUGGGAGUCCAGGUCCCCAGGCACUCCGGGCCUUGCAGUUUGUUCUCCCGGGAGCUGGUGUGACCCCAACUGCGUGCUCCACAAACACAACUGCUCAUGGUCUGCAAACCAAGCCUGCCUCAGGCUUUCUUGACUCUCUUUAAGACUGGAAUGAUUGUCAUUCCCAAACGGCAGGACCAAACCUGUGGGGAGCUCCUCCUUGCCUGGUUAGGCACAUGAAGACUUUUGAGGAGAAACCUCAAUCAAAGCAGGGAAUAAAGCUUUGAAUGGCACAGUUUUGUUUGGAUGUAAGGGUGCCCCCUGCCUUCGCUGGGGACAGCAAUUAGGAUGCGACCAUCAUGCAUUUAGCGCUUUCCCCGUAGAGCACACAGCUUUCAUUCUCAUCAGCAGGUAGGAGUCUGUCCCCGUCCUGGCUCCAUACUCUGCAAGUCCUGCAAGGGCACCGUCCGUCGGCAUGAAGGGGCCCAUGCGGGCGGCCACAAGGCUGCUCCCCCAGGCAGGAGAUUAUUCUGCUGAGGGUGGGACCCGGUUCUCUGCUUCUCAACAUCAAAUACGCAGCUGUCUCUGUAGCUUCCAAGACAGAGGAGCUGGAUUUGCAGACCCCAAACUAGUGGGUGGCCAGGAAAGGCCAGGGCAGGAGCUGAAGGACAUGGCCACUGGGGUUCGUCCAGUGCAAACGUCCAGUGCGCAGCUUUCUCGAGCUCACGACGGCCUCUGUUUUCUUGGACUUGUCUGAGAACGUGUUUUAUUCCACGACUUCACCAUAAAUUGUGUGUUGCCGGGUAUUAGUUUUA